CUGGCGGCAGGCCUAACACAUGCAAGUCGAACGGUAACAGGAAGCAGCUUGCUGCUUUGCUGACGAGUGGCGGACGGGUGAGUAAUGUCUGGGAAACUGCCUGAUGGAGGGGGAUAACUACUGGAAACGGUGGCUAAUACCGCAUAACGUCGCAAGACCAAAGAGGGGGACCUUCGGGCCUCUUGCCAUCAGAUGUGCCCAGAUGGGAUUAGCUUGUUGGUGAGGUAACGGCUCACCAAGGCGACGAUCCCUAGCUGGUCUGAGAGGAUGACCAGCCACACUGGAACUGAGACACGGUCCAGACUCCUACGGGAGGCAGCAGUGGGGAAUAUUGCACAAUGGGCGCAAGCCUGAUGCAGCCAUGCCGCGUGUAUGAAGAAGGCCUUCGGGUUGUAAAGUACUUUCAGCGGGGAGGAAGGUGUUGUGGUUAAUAACCGCAGCAAUUGACGUUACCCGCAGAAGAAGCACCGGCUAACUCCGUGCCAGCAGCCGCGGUAAUACGGAGGGUGCAAGCGUUAAUCGGAAUUACUGGGCGUAAAGCGCACGCAGGCGGUCUGUCAAGUCGGAUGUGAAAUCCCCGGGCUCAACCUGGGAACUGCAUUCGAAACUGGCAGGCUUGAGUCUUGUAGAGGGGGGUAGAAUUCCAGGUGUAGCGGUGAAAUGCGUAGAGAUCUGGAGGAAUACCGGUGGCGAAGGCGGCCCCCUGGACAAAGACUGACGCUCAGGUGCGAAAGCGUGGGGAGCAAACAGGAUUAGAUACCCUGGUAGUCCACGCCGUAAACGAUGUCUACUUGGAGGUUGUGCCCUUGAGGCGUGGCUUCCGGAGCUAACGCGUUAAGUAGACCGCCUGGGGAGUACGGCCGCAAGGUUAAAACUCAAAUGAAUUGACGGGGGCCCGCACAAGCGGUGGAGCAUGUGGUUUAAUUCGAUGCAACGCGAAGAACCUUACCUGGUCUUGACAUCCACAGAAGAAUCCAGAGAUGGAUUUGUGCCUUCGGGAACUGUGAGACAGGUGCUGCAUGGCUGUCGUCAGCUCGUGUUGUGAAAUGUUGGGUUAAGUCCCGCAACGAGCGCAACCCUUAUCCUUUGUUGCCAGCGGUCCGGCCGGGAACUCAAAGGAGACUGCCAGUGAUAAACUGGAGGAAGGUGGGGAUGACGUCAAGUCAUCAUGGCCCUUACGACCAGGGCUACACACGUGCUACAAUGGCGCAUACAAAGAGAAGCGACCUCGCGAGAGCAAGCGGACCUCAUAAAGUGCGUCGUAGUCCGGAUUGGAGUCUGCAACUCGACUCCAUGAAGUCGGAAUCGCUAGUAAUCGUGGAUCAGAAUGCCACGGUGAAUACGUUCCCGGGCCUUGUACACACCGCCCGUCACACCAUGGGAGUGGGUUGCAAAAGAAGUAGGUAGCUUAACCUUCGGGAGGGCGCUUACCACUUUGUGAUUCAUGACUGGGGUGAAGUCGUAACAAGGUAACCGUAGGGGAACCUGC
RNAcentral lists this ribosomal RNA (1489 nucleotides) under Salmonella enterica. RNAcentral describes it as "bacterial SSU rRNA". It matches the Rfam family "Bacterial small subunit ribosomal RNA". Lineage: Bacteria; Pseudomonadati; Pseudomonadota; Gammaproteobacteria; Enterobacterales; Enterobacteriaceae. The record is from RNAcentral.